GGAGGGCGCAAGCGUUGUUCGGAAUCACUGGGCGUAAAGCGCGUGUAGGCGGCUUGGCAAGUCGGGUGUGAAAUCCCGGGGCCAACCCGGAACUGCACUCGAAACUGCCUAGCUAGAGUCCCGGAGAGGAAGGCGGAAUUCCCGGUGUAGAGGUGAAAUUCGUAGAUAUCGGGAGGAACACCAGCGGCGAAGGCGGCCUUCUGGACGGUGACUGACGCUGAGACGCGAAAGCGUGGGGAGCAAACAGGAUUAGAUACCCUGGUAGUCCACGCCGUAAACGUUGGUGCUAGGUGUCGCGGGUAUUGACCCCCCCGCGGUGCCGUCGCUAACGCAUUUAGCACCCCGCUGGGGAUACGGUCGCAAGGCUA
RNAcentral lists this ribosomal RNA (368 nucleotides) under uncultured organism. RNAcentral describes it as "partial 16S ribosomal RNA". It matches the Rfam family "Bacterial small subunit ribosomal RNA", at positions 527 to 896 of the family's 1533-position model. The record is from RNAcentral.